CAAUAGCGUAUAUUAAAGUUGUUGCAGUUAAAAAGCUCGUAGUUGGAUUUCUGGUGGGAGCGAUCGGUCUGGCGCUUAGCGCGAGUACUUGCAUCGUCUCCGGCCAUCCUUGGGGAGAGUCUGUCUGGCAUUAAGUUGUCGGGCAGAGGAUCCUCAUCGUUUACUGUGAAAAAAUUAGAGUGUUCAAAGCAGGCUUAUGCCGUUGAAUAUAUUAGCAUGGAAUAAUAAGAUAGGACUUUGGUACUAUUUUGUUGGUUUGCGCACCAAAGUAAUGAUUAAUAGGGACAGUUGGGGGUAUUCAUAUUCCGUUGUCAGAGGUGAAAUUCUUGGAUUUACGGAAGACGAACUACUGCGAAAGCAUUUACCAAGGAUGUUUUCAUUAA
Molecule: ribosomal RNA, 383 nt
Filed under: uncultured eukaryote
Lineage: Eukaryota
Description: partial 18S ribosomal RNA
Rfam family: Eukaryotic small subunit ribosomal RNA
Source: RNAcentral